This is a long non-coding RNA of Belonocnema kinseyi, 424 nucleotides long. RefSeq lists it as uncharacterized. NCBI's taxonomy places the organism in Eukaryota, Metazoa, Arthropoda, Insecta, Hymenoptera, Cynipidae. The transcript has 3 exons. The record is from RefSeq and is a predicted model, not a curated record.
AAUUGCGACUCUUGCCUGAAAUACACCAGCAGCGCAGCGGAAAGGCGCAGUGCGCGUGUACUUUACAUGUGGAGAUUGUGUUGUCUUAUGCAUCACAAUUGGAAACGGUUCAGACAGCCCCGAUUUGCGCAGCUGAAAAAGACGCGGGCCGUUAGCCUGCAUGCAUGUCAGUGUUUUUCAAGUGUCUUUGAGUUUUGCAGCAUGACGGCGCGGUCUUGCUAGGAUAGGUGGAAAUGUCUGGAAGCUUAGCAGUAGUGCUUGACAUAGGAGUGCAAACAACUUUUUAGAGAAAAUUUUCUAAACGUAAAACUAUCCAGACCCAGAGUGGAGUAAUGAGGAUGUAGCAGGCAAUGAUAAGAGGCCCCAACCAGUCCUGUUUAUCGAUUGCUUCGUAGAGGAUAGUUGAGAUCCAGGAAAGCAGGGC